GACGAACCGUGCGAACGUUGUUCGGAUUCACUGGGCUUAAAGGGCGCGUAGGCGGGGGUUCAAGUCGGUGGUGAAAUCUUUCGGCCCAACCGGAAAAUCGCCUCCGAUACUGGAUCUCUUGAGGGGGGUAGGGGCAUGCGGAACUUCGGGUGGAGCGGUGAAAUGCGUAGAUAUCCGAAGGAACGCCGGUGGCGAAAGCGGCGUGCUGGACCCUUUCUGACGCUGAGGCGCGAAAGCCAGGGGAGCAAACGGG
Molecule: ribosomal RNA, 253 nt
Filed under: uncultured bacterium
Lineage: Bacteria
Description: partial 16S ribosomal RNA
Rfam family: Bacterial small subunit ribosomal RNA
Source: RNAcentral